GCCCAGGUGGCGCAGCGGUUAGCGCGUGGGAUUGCAGAUCCUAAGGUCAGUCGUUCAAAUCGGCUUCUGGGCU
RNAcentral lists this transfer RNA (73 nucleotides) under Hapsidospora chrysogenum ATCC 11550. RNAcentral describes it as "Acremonium chrysogenum ATCC 11550 tRNA". It matches the Rfam family "tRNA". Rfam says of the family: Transfer RNA (tRNA) molecules are approximately 80 nucleotides in length. Their secondary structure includes four short double-helical elements and three loops (D, anti-codon, and T loops). The record is from Rfam by way of RNAcentral. Lineage: Eukaryota; Fungi; Ascomycota; Sordariomycetes; Hypocreales; Bionectriaceae.